This 336-nucleotide ribosomal RNA is filed under the name uncultured fungus. Its description in RNAcentral is "bacterial SSU rRNA". It matches the Rfam family "Eukaryotic small subunit ribosomal RNA", at positions 292 to 636 of the family's 1831-position model. The record is from RNAcentral. Lineage: Eukaryota; Fungi.
GCAUCAUUCAAAUACCUGCCCUAUCAAUUUUUGAUGUGACGGUAGUGUCCUCACAUGGUAUUGACGGGUAACGGGGAAUUAGGGUUCGACUCCGGAGAGGGAGCCUGAGAAAUGGCUACCACAUCCAAGGAAGGCAGCAGGCGCGCAAAUUACCCAAUCCCGACCGGGGAGGUAGUGACAAGAAGUACUGAUACAGGGCCCUCAUGGGUCUUGUAAUUGGAUUGGUUCUAAUUUAAACACAUGUAUACUGGAGGGCAAGUCUGGUGCCAGCAGCCGCGGUAAUUCCAGCUCCAGUGGCGUAUAUUAAAGUUGUUGCAGUUAACAAGCUCGUAGUUG